CAGCCCAACUCCAAAUCAGCUAGUGACCUAGCCCCAUUUCCUUCUCUUUCCCCUCUUAUUUGAUACGUAUAAGAGUCUUCAAACGAUGGUACAACAACAGUAUCAUCUACCAGCAAACAACUUCAACACAUAGCAACAACAUACAAAUAACGACAAUAACUCCCAAACCUAUUUCUUGUUGCUAACAUCACGUUCAACGAAUGCUAACAUCACGUUCAACGAACAACAACAACAACAGCGAAGAACCCAGCAAAUCGACAAACAAUAACUCUCAACCCGUCAAUGACCCAUCAAAAUGGGUCCAACUUUGGCGACCCAUCCAAUAAUCAGAAAUCGGCCACUCGACCCAUGUCUGGCAGCAGCUUCAACGAAACUUCCAGAAAUGGGAUAGCUUAGCCAAUCAUUGAGCGUACGGAUGGUAUGAUUCUGUAAUGAAUCCAACGUAUCUCUUAUCCCAUUUUUGAAAUUCAAAAGUUUCCUAUGAGAAUCCCAAAAUUUCCCACAUUUUCUUUGUUUCCACAUCAAUUGAGCCUCAAAAAGAUGGAUUCCGUGGUUCUGUUAUAAAAUGCUCUUGGUUGAGCUAAAAAGGGGAUCAAAAAAAGUUGAAAAAGAGGGGAAAAAAUCCUCAAAGCUAAGAGUUUCCUUUCUCAGUAAAAAUUCUUUUUUCGUUCUUUUUUUUGAAAGUUGAUCGAUUAAUCAGAGGUUCUCGAGUUGAUAACACUGAUUUUUUUAUAGUGGUAGAUCCCGACGUCAGCUCAUUGUUCUAUUUUUCUCUCGAAAGCAAGGAUGAAGGAUGGAGUAGAGCAUUACUAUGGUCUACCUAUAUCUUUCGAGAGCCUAUUGGCCAAGAAAUCAUUUGAGUCCUACAUGGACUCGUCCUUUUUUUGCAUAUCUAUCAUAGCCAAUGAGGCCUAUUUUUUGAGUCAAGCCCAAAGGAGGUUUAAAGUCAAAUUACAUAUGGAUGCAAGGAGAUGAAAGAAGAAGAAGGGAUUAAGUCCUAUCUUUGAAGCGGCUGAACAGUCUCAUUUUUUCAUUUUUUUAUUUAUUUAUCUAUUGUCGUCUUUAUUUAUUUAUUUUAUUUAUUUAUCCAUUCAUUUGGGCCUCGAAGCCAAAGUUGUAUUAUAAUACAGAUGAUGCGACACUCGAGCAAAAAGUUUCGAAAAAUGGCUUAGGAAAGGUUAUGGACCGAAAGCCAAACACUUAGAUUAGGACAGGUGCAAAAAUGGGUCGGAAGCCCAAUUAGAUUUGGAUAGGUUUUGUUGAUUUGAGCCCAAUGGCCUAAGUCUUUUACUUC
This is a long non-coding RNA of Capsicum annuum, 1294 nucleotides long. RefSeq lists it as uncharacterized. The transcript is spliced from 2 exons. The record is from RefSeq and is a predicted model, not a curated record. NCBI's taxonomy places the organism in Eukaryota, Viridiplantae, Streptophyta, Magnoliopsida, Solanales, Solanaceae.